UACGGAGGAAGCAAGCGUUAUCCGGAAUUAUUGGGCGUAAAGAGAUGCGUAGGCGGUCUCUUAAGCUAGUGAUGAAAUCGUAAGGCUCAACCUUACGCCUGUUACUAGAACUGAGAGACUUGAGAGCGAGAGGGGUAGCUGGAAUUCCCGGUGUAGGAGUGAAAUCCGUAGAUAUCGGGAGGAACACCAAUGGCGAAGGCAGGCUACUGGCUCGUUUCUGACGCUCAGGCUCGAAAGCGUGGGUAGCGAACCGG
RNAcentral lists this unclassified non-coding RNA (254 nucleotides) under uncultured Patescibacteria group bacterium. Its description in RNAcentral is "contains 16S-23S intergenic spacer region". It matches the Rfam family "Bacterial small subunit ribosomal RNA", at positions 524 to 776 of the family's 1533-position model. The record is from RNAcentral.